Long non-coding RNA from Peromyscus californicus insignis, 4424 nucleotides. RefSeq lists it as uncharacterized. NCBI's taxonomy places the organism in Eukaryota, Metazoa, Chordata, Mammalia, Rodentia, Cricetidae. The record is from RefSeq and is a predicted model, not a curated record. The transcript has 2 exons.
GUGCGCGUGCGCGCGCCGCCGCGGCCGCCACCGCCUGGGCCAGCCGGGUGUGCCCGGUGCCCCGGAGCGCGCAGUUUGCUAGGAACCGGAGGUGCAGAGCCCGGACGACCCCCGGUCACCGAACAGCGGUCGUCCUGCAGGCUUCCCGUGGAGGUGGUGCUGGAAUAGGGGCAGGGAACGCAGUCCUUUAGUAAGAGGAGAGGGACAGAGGUCCGGGAGUGGCUGGGACCCAAUCCUGAUGCCCUUCGUGAAACUCCAGUGCUGAAAAGUGCGUUCCUGCCCUUCACCUCGAAGUAUUCUUACCAAGAGACUUGAAAGAAGUAUCUUGCCCUUCCCCGCUGCGGUGGGACACUGCAAGAAGUCCACAUUGUAAGCGUCACACACAGCACAUGCAUUAAAGAAAAGUUGAAGGGGUGUGUGUCUUUUAAACUGGUAUAUAUUUUUGUUUCUUGCAAACCCAUGAGCACGUUAAAUUUUAUAUUUGCAAAAUGAUACUCUGAUUCAGAAUAAACACAGCUCAACUGUUUCCUACGUUGAGAGAGGAUUGACCCAAAACAGGGUGUAUCAGUUGGACAGACAUUCAACAAACAUCUGAGAGCCGGCCAGGUGUCCAGCUGUGUUAUCUUGUGGCACAGACACAAGCUAGGGCACACCCCACACAGCCGCUCUCUUUGCUGGCCUCAAGUGGGCGUCUCAUAGCUGCACCUGAAGCCUGUAUAAUCUGUGCAGAUUUUUCAAUUCCAAAACUGCCUAACAGUUUUGUUGUUGUUGCUGUUGUUGUUUUUGUCAUUCUGUAACUUCUGUCCUGAGCCCAGACGAAGCAAUAUGCAAAACAGACGUUCAACACAAGGUGCAGUGGCCACUCUGGCCGGAAAGUUGCAGAUCUCAGGGGAAGUAACACAGGACAAAUUAAGCAGCCAGUUUUAAGUUUCUCUGUCCUGUGGCCAAGUAGCAGUUUGGGGUUUUCCAUGCCAUUUGGUAGUUAGAUACACAAAGACAGACUUUCCUUCUGCAUCUAACGAUGUUCUCCAUCAGAAAAAAAGAAGGCUUUUACUUCUAGGGAGCCUUCUCUAUUUGUUAAUCAUUAAGUGGCCCCUUAGUAAUAGAAGAUCCUUACCAAAGACCUGCCUGCUAGCUGAUGAUCGAUGCUAACGAAAAAUAUAGCUUAAAACUGAUGUAUUUAAAGACUUUUGUUUUGGACAAGGUAGACAAUUAGUGGAAAUCUUAAACAUUUUAUUUAGGGCCUGACCUUGUGCAGUUUGCAAAACUCGUGAGGCUAUUUAUCGAAUGCCAUUACCUAAGUAGCCCCCUAAGGCAGGUAGGUGACAGUGUUCUGAUGAUCUCCCUUUGUACCGGAUUUUGCUCUAAACUCUCCAUGCAUUAUCUCAGUUAUUUAUCUUUACCUCUAUAGUACAGCUAUGGAACCUGAGGCUCCAGCACUAGCAACUGAUAGAAUAAGGACUGAACACAGGCUUUUACUUCCAGUGGUGGUCUUUUCUAUUGUAAUUUCUCUUGAUCAUAGAACAGUAUAUUAAAAUGUGGUGUUUAUUAAACUGGGGAUGCAAUUCUUGAGGACGUAAGAGUACAACUUUAUUAUAGCCAUUCCUCCCUUUGCUUUCUAGUCAAAGUAUAUACUUCAAUUUUAUUAAUUACUAAUACUUCUUGGUUUGACAGCUUAUUAUUUUCUUUCCAUUUGAUGCCAUAGCUUAUUUCUUCUUAUUAAAAAUAUUAGAAGUCAAAGAUCUCCAAGCUUUGGAGAUCCCACAGGAAAACUUGUAAUAUUAAAAAAAAAAAGCCAUCCAUGAAGAUGAAGAUAAAAAGCAUAAUUUAAAUAUUCAAAAAGGAAAGAAAGAAGGGUAAAAGAACAAAUAAAGGAGUAGAGGGGUACACAUAUCAAUUCAUAGGGUGUAAAACAGGGGACAGGUAGACUCUAGAUAUAGGCAGUUACGUGUUAGGAUUUGGGAGAUAAGUAAAAUCUGGAGAUAGAUUUUGUGGUGGUUUGAAAGAGAAUGGCCCCCGUGGGCUCAUAUAUUUGAAUGCUUAGUUCCCAGUUGGUGGAAAUGUUUGAGAAGGAUUAGUAAGUGUGAUGUUGUUAGAGGAAGUGUGCCACUGGGGGUGGGCAUUGAGGUUUCAAAAGCCCAUUCCCUACAUAUCUCUCUCUGUCUCCUGCUUAUGGAUCAGGAUGUCAGCUCUCAGCUGCUGCUUGUAACACAAAUGUUAAAAGGUUUUAUUAAUUAAAAAAAAAAAAAACAGAGCCUGAUAUUGGGGUAAAUGCUGAAAGAUCAUAGAGACAAAGGAACAGCCACAUCUUACCUCUUGGACUCCUCAGCCCCAAAAACCUCAGCCAAUAAGCCUCUAGCUGAAAAAUCUUACUCAGCUGAAAAGGCAUUAGUUCCUGUCUCCUUACACCUUAUAUACCUUUCUCCACCCACCACAUCACUUCCUUUUUAAUGCUGGAAUUAAAGGCAUGUGACUUCCCAACAAAUGCAUGGAUCUCAAGUAUUGGGAUUAAAGGUGUGUGCCACCACGGCCCGACUGUUUCUCUCCUAUACUGGAUCAAUCUCAUGUAGUCCAGUAUGGCUUUGAACUCACAGAGAUCCAAACAGAUCUCUGCCUCCUGAAUGCUAGGAUUAAAGGUGUGUGCCACCACUGUCUGUCUUCUAUAUUUAAUUUAGUGGCUUGUUCUGUCCUCUGAUCUUCAGGCAAAUGUUAUUUGGGUACGCAAUAUAUCACCACAGCUGCUCCUGUGCCAUGCCUGCCUACCUACCUACAGCCAUGCUCCCUGCCAUGAUGGUCAUAGACUCACCCUCUGAACUAGUGUCAUCUUCCUUCUUCCCAUCUGUAUAGUCUGGUGUUGAACAUUGCAGCAAACUUCCCCUGGACUAUGCCUGAAUAUCCAUUCUGAAUGCAUAAGAAGUAAGAAAGAGAGAGAGCAGAGGAAGUCCUGAGUGAGUGAAGACCUGAGUGACUGUGGUGUUAACAUGGGCACAGCCAUGUCAAGGACCCUAAUGCCUCAGCCUCAUGAGAGUGGCAAAGCCUUCCCCGGAUGAAGUUCAGAGGUAUGGCAGUCUUCCUUGUGUCCAUGUGUGGAUUUUGAUAGUUGUGUACAGAAUAUGUCCACUGUAGCUUUUCUCCCCCGCCCCAUCCCGGGAUGUUUACAGCCUGAAGACUGCUUUCCCACAGAGACUGCUUUUGUCUCCUUCAUCUUGUUGUAUACCAUAAACCCUGAUUGCUUGUCUAGUUGUCUGCAAUAACACCCUCAACCCUAUCCAAUGGUGUGUCAUAUAUUCAGCUGCCAGGGAACUACAACUUCUCUGUCAGAAAGCCCAGGUAAUCAGAUCCCAAGAUUUCUGUGUAUCCGUUUUUGUCUUUUCUUCUCACCCCUAGUCACAAUUACAAGACCCAAGCCAUACAGGGGCUUGGCAGGACAAGACGUUGAUGAAAAAUUACUUGGCUAAACCUGGGUUUGGUCUCUAUCAAGAUAAUGGUGCAUGACUAUAAUUCCAGCACUCCAAAGAUGGAGGCUUACAAGUUCAAGAUCACAUUUGUCUACAUAGGGAGCUUGAAGCCAAUAUGGGCAACACAAGAUCUUGUCUAUAUAAAUAAGUAAAUAAGUAGUUUUAUUUUUUAAGUGUUAAUAUCAAGUAAUGUGGGGGCACUGAAACCAGAAACAAGCCACUGUGAGAAGAUAACUAAAGAAAACGUCUAGGAGAGAGGAUGAGUGCUCAAAUUUAAGAGGAAAGGAGAAGGAAAGCUUACAAGGCAACAAAAGAUGAUCAUCAAAUUAAUAAAGUAACACAAGAUUCCCCCCACCAAAAAAAAAAAAAUCAAAAAGCAUGUGUUUUUCUAGCAUGUAGAUUUCAGACUGUGUAAAAAAAAAAAUGACUUAAAAGCAGAGGGGAUGCUAUUUGGGAAAAGAAACAGGACCAGUGGGACGGGAUAAAGAGGCAGAUAAAGUAAUGGGGAGUGAAUUAGAUGACAGAGUAUGAUUUACGUGUAGGAGAACAUCGUGAUGAGACCCAUUGUAAUGUACAAAGAAUCUACACUAAUUGAACUGGCAAAGAGAGACACAGAGAAAUCAAUGGACCACUUAUGGGGCACUCAAGAACAGGAGGACCACGAAUAGAAUACACAUCCCAGAACAGAGUAACUCCAUUAAUAGUAGACACUGAAAUAUGGACUUUCAGAAGACUAGUAAAAUUGGAGAACCAUCAACUCUUUGAGUGUUUUAUGUUGCAUAUCAGAGAAAUUGUAGACAUAGUUACAAAUGUAAACUACUAAGUCCAGACAGGGAAAUCAUCAGCAUGUGAGUGGUAGUUGAAGUCACAGAUGUGCACAAUAAGGUCCAGCAGGAAUGAGUUCAGGAAAUGAGGGCUGAAGAUGUGAAUUUUCUCAGAUGUCCUCUCCUUAAGGAAUGGGGGGGG